UGGGGAAUUUUCCGCAAUGGGCGAAAGCCUGACGGAGCAAUACCGCGUGAGGGAGGAAGGCUUUUGGGUUGUAAACCUCUUUUCUUAGGGAAGAAGAAAGUGACGGUACCUAAGGAAUCAGCAUCGGCUAACUCCGUGCCAGCAGCCGCGGUAAUACGGAGGAUGCAAGCGUUAUCCGGAAUUAUUGGGCGUAAAGCGUCCGCAGGCGGCUUAUCAAGUCUGCUGUUAAAGGUCGGGGCUCAACUCCGGUUCGGCAGUGGAAACUGAUAAGCUAGAGUACGGUAGGGGUAGAGGGAAUUCCCAGUGUAGCGGUGAAAUGCGUAGAUAUUGGGAAGAACACCAGUGGCGAAGGCGCUCUACUGGGCCGUAACUGACGCUGAGGGACGAAAGCUAGGGGAGCGAAAGGGAUUAGAUACCCCGGUAGUCC
This 427-nucleotide ribosomal RNA is filed under the name uncultured prokaryote. Its description in RNAcentral is "bacterial SSU rRNA". It matches the Rfam family "Bacterial small subunit ribosomal RNA", at positions 355 to 796 of the family's 1533-position model. The record is from RNAcentral.